Molecule: ribosomal RNA, 615 nt
Filed under: Desulfobacterales bacterium enrichment culture clone MS_NAP_U18
Lineage: Bacteria; Pseudomonadati; Thermodesulfobacteriota; Desulfobacteria; Desulfobacterales
Description: bacterial SSU rRNA
Rfam family: Bacterial small subunit ribosomal RNA
Source: RNAcentral
GCAAGUCGAACGCGAAAUUUUUUCUUCGGAAGAAAGAGUAGAGUGGCGCACGGGUGAGUAACGCGUAAGUUAUCUACCCUUCCAUCUGGAAUAACUCACCGAAAGGUGUGCUAAUACCGGAUACGCUGGAAACAGGAAAGGUGGCCUCUUUUAAGCUACCGUGGAGGGAUGAGCUUGCGUACCAUUAGCUAGUUGGUAGGGUAACGGCCUACCAAGGCAACGAUGGUUAGCGGGUCUGAGAGGAUGAUCCGCCACACUGGAACUGGAACACGGACCAGACUCCUACGGGAGGCAGCAGUGAGGAAUAUUGCGCAAUGGGGGAAACCCUGACGCAGCGACGCCGCGUGGAUGAUGAAGGCCCUUGGGUCGUAAAAUCCUGUCAGAUGGAAAGAAAUGCUAUAAUGCUAAUAUCAUUAUAGUUUGACGGUACCAUCAAAGGAAGCACCGGCUAACUCCGUGCCAGCAGCCGCGGUAAUACGGAGGGUGCAAGCGUUGUUCGGAAUUACUGGGCGUAAAGCGCGCGUAGGUGGCUGUUUAAGUCAGAUGUGAAAGUCCACGGCUCAACCGUGGAAGUGCAUUUGAAACUGGAUAGCUUGAGUAUUGGAGGGGGUAGUG